Non-coding RNA from Ictidomys tridecemlineatus (thirteen-lined ground squirrel), 5313 nucleotides. NCBI's taxonomy places the organism in Eukaryota, Metazoa, Chordata, Mammalia, Rodentia, Sciuridae. The record is from RefSeq and is a predicted model, not a curated record.
UGGCUUCUUAUAAAAGGCAGGCAUCGUCCUGGGGGUCCCAGGCUUCCAUUCAGCCGGGAUCUCAGAAGCGCUGGUGAUGUGCCUGGCACUGUGCUGGAGAGAGACUUCCAUUCAUUCUUCCCUUUCGACUUAAAUGGGCACCUAUUAUGCUCCUGCCCUUGUGUUGGGUUCAGAGAAUCCAGUGGGGCAGAAUAUGAGAACGUGUUCCUGCUCUCCUGAGCUUGCAUUCUAGGUGGAGGAGAUAGUCAUGAUGGAGAAAACACAUGAACAAGCCGUUGCUAUAUCCAGUGGUGAUAAAUGUCAGGAAGAAAAUAUAACAGGGUGGAUGUCCUAAGAAGGGAAGAGUAGAGCUUCUGAGAUCAGGGCCCUGGGGAAUGCCCGUUGUGAGAUGUGGAAGAGGGGAGGGGUCUGCAUGGUGAGGGGUGAGAAGAAGGGUGGCACAAGCCCCAUCAGCCACAGGACUCCUGAGAUCUACCAGGUGCUCAGGAGGCUCUGAAACCCAAAAGGAAGCCACCCCAGGGCUCCCUGGCCUGAGCUCACAGGCCAGUGCUGGCUGUCCUGAAAGACCCCCCCCCCCUUCCUGUGCAGGCCCUGCUCUCCCUGUCCUCUGGACAAGUCAGCUAGAGAAACGUUAAUAUGAGCACCGAGGGCAUGAAACAAUGAAGCUUGUGGAGUUGGAUCACUUGUCCAGAUCACAAAGCCAGUAGAUGACCUACAGAGUGCGCACUCAGAUGACGUCAGCUCAUGUCCCGUGCCUCUCCCUCCUCUGAAAAGACGAUGGAAAGAGAAACCAUCUGGGGCUGGGGAAUCAGGGGAGCUUGGUGGGACUGGGUCUGCAGGCCUGGUGAAGAGUGUGCAAGAAGAACACGGUGGGGAGAGCUUCCAGAACCCCAAGGAAGGAAGAGAGAAGGAUAGGAAGAGAACAGCCCCAGGCUUCUGAAAGGCAGUUUCCAAAGGUCAGCAGGACUGGCAGGAAAGGGUCCUGAGAGCAUUCCAACAGAGACACCUGGAGCCUGACCACCUGUGCAAUGCCAAAAUAAGCACCCUUGCCUGUCCAUCUCCCUCACCCCCAGGUGCUGUGAUCUCCAGGGAUCAAGGCACUACAGAAUCCAGCCCUUAGCUCAUGGGGUCAUUCCAGCAUCUAUUGUAGGAAUGGAAACCCCAUCUCUCAAGGCUUCUGGAGUGCAUGGCUCACAAAGCCCCACAAAAGAGAGUGGCCAUGUACCUCCAGGGCUCCAGGCAGCUCCUUCUGGAUGGUACAGUCACUACGUGAUGCUGCCCUGCAGGCAAGUCCAGAACCCUCGUGAUCUCCAGGAGCUUCUGGCAAAGCCACAGAGCUGUCUCUGAGGAGCUGGCCUCUGUCUCCCAGACAUCCAAAAGACCUUGUCCUGCUGCCUGAAAACCACUUAAACCUUCUCAGCCCCUUCUGCAGCCCCUGUGCUUGCUCUGAACCUCCAGUGCAUCCCUUCUCCUGAGGAACCAUCUUCACAAAGCGAGACCGACCAGGAGCCUGGAGAUGCCAUCCUUGAGGAGGUGAGCCUAGUACAUGACGGAAGAGCAUCUGAGGCAGGCAAGGGGUGGACUUUGGUAGACACUGGGCCACACAGAGACCUCCUCCUACUCCUUCAGGGAGGAUAGAGGGCUGACAGCUCACAGCUGGGCCCCACCACGGCUUUGCCCUUGACCUAGGGAAGCCAACCUGCCUGAAGUUCUGCCCCCUCCCCGGGAUGUCCCUGCCCGAUGGCGGGAUGGCUCACGGAUACACCGCCUGCCUCAGCGGUUAUCAAAAGUAACUUUUGCUGAACUUUAAAAGUUGAAAAACAAAGAAUAUCACCAAGAAAAAAAAUACAUGCUUCAUAUCAUCUGGCCAGGUAAAGGAAAUCAUGUUUUAGUAGUAUGACAUACUUCUUUCUAGGCCUUUGGAUAGCGAAACAAAUCAAAAUAACUCACAAGUAUGUUUGUAGUUUAGACUACACUGUCCAGUCACACAUUACUGAAUGAUGGUAAAGGCUCUGAGAAACUCAUGUUAGCCAGCGACAGAGGACAAAUGCACACACCUAGAUGGUGUAGGUCAACCACUCAAUGUGACCUCUGGAGCUCUGUCUGCGCUUGCUGCUGCCAUGACAGCACACAAUUCUAGAACAUUUCUGAUAAGUUGAGGAAUACAUUCUCAAAUAAUGAUAUAAAGGACAGCAUGGCAAGUGCAUGGCCAUUUGUUACCAUCGUCAAGUGUCAUGUACUGAGCUGUAUGUGCAGGACUUCUGCAGGACUGGUAGCACAGUGGGUUCACACCAACCCCUCCACAGACAGGAGGAGCAGACUGCUACAGUGUGGGGCACAGCUGCUGUCCCUGGGUGAGAGUAUGAUCACUGAUGGGACCAAAGUCAUGUAUUCAGGUCGUCACUGACUACACUUCACUCUGUGGCACAGGGCAGGCUACUCAGUUCCGAGACCUCCUUUUGUCCUUAUUGCUCUAUUUUCUGCCUGGGUGAACACCCUCCAGUGAAGCUCCGCAGAGGAUGAGCAGCCACAGGGUGAAGAGGGCAUCUGCUCUUUGCUUACAGAGCUCACCCCGAAGGCACAAGGGCACAGUCCUGCUCUGGGUGUCACCGUCUGGACACCUUAAGUUCCAGAAUUUCAACAUAUCAUGAUAUUUUCUUAUUAUUGCUCUGCCCACCUUCUCCAAAACAUUUCUGUUUUUAUUUGUUAUCAUUAAAACCAAAGCCACACUCUAUGUGAAAGAAAGCAAAGUAAACAAACAAACAAACAAACACACUUUGUAACCUCAUGUAGCCUGGUCCUGGUUGAGGGAAGAGCUGGGGGUGGGUAGAGUUAGCCCCUUAUACAGCAAAGAAGCAUACACAGGAAACAAGGACACAGACUUGAACCCCCUCCUCUCAUUCCACCACUCACGUUCUCCCUUCUCCCUAACUCAGGGUUCCCAGCUACUCUCUUCACCCUGCCCAUGCUCACCUCCACAGAGUUCCACUGAAAAAGUAUUUACACAUGUGCAAAAUUAAGCAAUAUGGGAAAAGAGUAGCCUCCAAGCGGAAUAAACAGUUCUGGGCCUCAGAGUGAAGUUUUGGUCAAGGAUGGACUGAUUUCACUCAGAGUUGUGAAAUCAGUUUAAUGAGUCAUGAUCAGCAUUGUAAAAAAAUAAACCAGAUAGGAGAAAAAAGAACAAAAGCUAACAAAGUGUGCCGACAAGAAAGGUAAGUGCUGCUUCAUGAAGCCUCUGUUUCAGCUGCAUGCGUGAGCACGUGCCGCACACCAUAAUGCAAGAUCUGCUCUCACUAUGUGGCGUAAAGGCUGCCGACAUCCUCCCCCAUAGCCUGAACAACAGUUGAAAACCACCACUUUUCAAAAGUUCAGGCUGUCGAAGAUGUCCAUCAUCUGUUCCCAGAUCCUCCACUUUCCAGCUCCAACACACACACACACACACACACACACACACACUCUCACCACCUCCACCAACAACACCAUCACUACCUCUACCACUUACCUCUGUCCCUGUCUUCCUUCCUAUCUGUAGUUUUAAAAAGAAAAAAAAAUAUAGGGGAAUAUGUCUAAUGAUCGAGUAAAUGAUAGCAAAAAUAUCAGAUACCAAAUGGUUUUAAUGGCACUGAUGAUGGUUCUCUAGGUGAUUUUAAUUGUGCUCUUCACUUGUUCAGCAACGAUCAAAACUUUCCAACAGAUGAAAGCUUGAAAUCCAGUCAGACAGACCUGGGCUCAAGUAUAGAAACAGUUCUGCUACAUCUGUAAAUAAACAGUAUUCUAUGCUUUAUGCUUUUUAGAAAAUGUGGGUGUUUUUAAUGUCAGAUCAUGUGCUUCUGCAAUGACCACACGUGACACUUUGGGCUCUGCAUGAUCGCCCUGAGAGUGUCACCAUCUGCACUCCCCCUUGCUUCUCCUGGAUGAACAACGGGGACUCAACUUUCUCAUCUUCCCUUCUUGAUAGUGCAAGAGUAACCAUCCUCUGAUUUCCUAAUGUAUGCUGACCUUAGGAAAUACUCCCCAAGGCUUAUGCAAAUGAUGUGAAUGCCAUCAUGACUCUUGGUAUGUGUUGCCAAAUUGCCUCUGAAAAGGAUUGUGAAAAUAUAUAGUCAGCAAUAAAGUAUGGGGACAUCACAGCACCAUUAGCAUUGGGUAUUUUCAUUAGACUCUAUUUAGUGACUUAAGAAAAAUAAAACAAAACCAAAAAGCGUUAUGAUUCUAGUUUACAAGUGAAAUUGAAAUUGUUGUUAUUAAAGCAAUUGUAUUGCUCCCUUUGUAAAUUAUCUGAUUAUAUCUUGUUUUUAAUAUAAUUAUCCACUCUGUGUAUAUUCUGAAAUUUAUGGCCACAUGUAAUACAGCUUAAAUCUUUAACCUUCAUCUGCUGCUCCCUUUCCAACUUCCAAUUUUGUUUGAGUUAUUCAGUAAUUAGCAUGUUCAGAGGAUUGUUCGUCUCAGCACCUACCUUCCUUUCCCCCAUCCAGUAAUAAAAACACUCAUCACUAACAGUAGCAAUUUCAUUGUUUUGAAUUUCUGUAUAGAACACUAUUUUUAUGUUUUUACUCCUGAAUGCCAAAAGCCUUUAAGGCUAUUUUUUCUGAUUUUAUUUUUAUGUAUCCUAUAUAAUUCUAUUAAGAUGUUCUUCAUGAUUCUAUACAUGCAUAUACAUACUUAGAAAGCAUUUUUGGUCCCUAAGUUGUCAAGAUAUUUAAAAUACAUUUUUUUUUCUAUUUUUAUUGUAUUACCAUCAGAUAAUAUUCUAACACCACAUGUUAACGAUGUUAUAACGUUCUUGUUUGAUUUUUGUGUGACUACAUGGCCUUCUUCAAAUGUGUUUCACAUAUUGUCAAGAAAAUAUUUUCUUAUUUUUGAGAAUAAGUCUAAUAUAAAUUUUAAUAUAUAUUCAUGGGUAAAAAAUUGUGACAUAUUAAUAUGUCCAUAUCAUAGAGUUAGUCUUAGAAAUAAAAAGGAGUUGUUAAUACAUGUAUUAAAUGCAUGAACUUGAAAAUAAUUAUUCGUAGGGAAAAACCUAGAUAAAAGUGAGGGCAUGAUGUGAUGCCACUCUAUAAAAUUCUGGAAAAUGCAAGUAAAUAUAUAGUGACAGAAAUCAAUCAAUCAUUGUUUGGGAAUGGGGAGAGACAGAGGGGCAGGACAUAAAGGUCAUCCAAUAUCAUGAGAAAAUGUUUUGGGAGUGGUGAAUAUGUUUGAUACCCUGAUUACAGUGCUAGUUUCAAAUUGUAUACUUAAAAUCUGUUCAGUUUAUUGUGUGUAGGUUAUCUUAACAAAGCUAUUAUAAAAAUAAAUUUCAUCUGUUUCUUCGUA